AGUGAACGCUGGCGGUAGGCCUAACACAUGCAAGUCGAACGGCAGCACAGUAAGAGCUUGCUCUUACGGGUGGCGAGUGGCGGACGGGUGAGGAAUACAUCGGAAUCUACUUUUUCGUGGGGGAUAACGUAGGGAAACUUACGCUAAUACCGCAUACGACCUACGGGUGAAAGCAGGGGAUCUUCGGACCUUGCGCGAUUGAAUGAGCCGAUGUCGGAUUAGCUAGUUGGCGGGGUAAAGGCCCACCAAGGCGACGAUCCGUAGCUGGUCUGAGAGGAUGAUCAGCCACACUGGAACCGAGACACGGUCCAGACUCCUACGGGAGGCAGCAGUGGGGAAUAUUGGACAAUGGGCGCAAGCCUGAUCCAGCCAUACCGCGUGGGUGAAGUAGGCCUUCGGGUUGUAAAGCCCUUUUGUUGGGAAAGAAAAGCAGCAGGUUAAUACCCCGCUGUUCUGACGGUACCCAAAGAAUAAGCACCGGCUAACUUCGUG
This 492-nucleotide ribosomal RNA is filed under the name uncultured bacterium. Its description in RNAcentral is "partial 16S ribosomal RNA". It matches the Rfam family "Bacterial small subunit ribosomal RNA", at positions 29 to 507 of the family's 1533-position model. The record is from RNAcentral.